UUGGAUUAUGGAGUUGAAAAUCAUGAAAGCUGUCAAAGAGAUUGGAUUGCAGGCAUAAUGUUUUGUUAGCCUACAUCGUGGAUAGUUUUUAGUGUUUCGGAAAUAGAAAUGAUUGUUCAUCUUCACUUGCCAAAUGGAGCUGUGAGUUUUUGCCGGCCCUCUUCUUUGUCCUGUAUCAGUCUAUACUGGUUUAUCUAUUGAGUUCCUUAAAAUGUCAUUGUUUGGCCCGACCACGUUGUGACCAUAUUUUGCAAAAUCUUGGAUGGGUGUUGGACGGCAAUGAUGCCUGGAUAUGGUAGCUGAUGAUGGAAGUUGUGCCUUUUCUGGUUGUGAUUAUUAAGCGCAUCGUGAUUUCA
This 356-nucleotide long non-coding RNA is filed under the name Eucalyptus grandis. RNAcentral describes it as "long non-coding RNA (EGRA_LNC007669)". Lineage: Eukaryota; Viridiplantae; Streptophyta; Magnoliopsida; Myrtales; Myrtaceae. The record is from RNAcentral.